Molecule: non-coding RNA, 102 nt
Filed under: Fragilariopsis kerguelensis
Lineage: Eukaryota; Bacillariophyta; Bacillariophyceae; Bacillariales; Bacillariaceae
Source: RNAcentral
UAGAAUAACAAAAAGAUGGUUAUCUUAGCGACACCAAUGACAGGAGAAGAAAUAGAAGAAGAAAGAAAGCAAAACUUGGCGAAGGAGGAAAGAAAAAAGAAG